Long non-coding RNA from Pristis pectinata (smalltooth sawfish), 270 nucleotides. RefSeq lists it as uncharacterized. The transcript is spliced from 3 exons. Lineage: Eukaryota; Metazoa; Chordata; Chondrichthyes; Rhinopristiformes; Pristidae. The record is from RefSeq and is a predicted model, not a curated record.
GCAGGAUGGGGUCCUCGAUUCUCUCCAGCAGGUCAUAGAUAGAGUAGAUGUUGGGAUGGACGCUCUCGAAUCGCUGGAUCUCGGCUCGGAUGGCCGCGGAGUUGGCCAGCUGCUGCUGCGCCAGCGAUCGGGGUUCGAUUCCUGUUGCUGUCUGUAAGGAGUUUGUGCAGGUGCUCUGGUUUCCUUCCACAUUCCAAAGACGUACAGCCCAGUACAUCUGUAUUGAGGUGUGGUGUCCAAAAAUGAAUGUUGUACCCCCGGUGAAGACUG